CGAACCAAACAACAUCCGUCUAAACCUACUAAAUAAAAUCAAAGAAACAGACUUUGCCUAGUAAACCAGCCAUUCCAGCCAUAAGCAGUACACAAAGUGAGGCAUUAGGCCAAAAAUUAAUCAGUAAUGCCAAGAGUGGAUGACAGAUUACAAAACUGAGAUAAAAAAAUAGCGCAAACCACAUAUCCAACAAUCCGCAAAGGGAUUAAUCCUAACAUAAUGAUGCAUCCAAAAACUUUCACUAAAAAAAACCUAUGAUCUUUAAGACUCUACAGCAGGAAACCUAGCAUACAAUAUCAUCAAAACGUUAUUUAUAACUAUAGAAGGUUGAGAUGAAGCUGAAAUAGUCAAAAGAUAAAUUAAAUGGAGUGUUACUUGUUUCGACGUAGCAAGACAGAACAACGAACUGAUGUCGGAAUCAGC
This 423-nucleotide long non-coding RNA is filed under the name Capsicum annuum. RNAcentral describes it as "long non-coding RNA (CANN_LNC021593)". Lineage: Eukaryota; Viridiplantae; Streptophyta; Magnoliopsida; Solanales; Solanaceae. The record is from RNAcentral.